UCGACUCUUUCAAAUGAUAUUCUUUACCGCGUUCAUACGCCUUGUAAUCAGCUGCGUGUUUAUCCUACGCUUAUUGGUGGAACGCAAUAGGGUUGUCAAGACCCGGUUUAAAACUCACUGAUUCUAGAGCCUCGUUUUCGUCUCUCCGUGAGUAAGACGCUUCCAUGCACGCAGUCUGUGCACACAGUGUGGACCAGUCGUAACAAGGCUUAUUAAUAAACGCUAGAGAAACACUGGUGUGGGAGAUUUGAUAAUUUGUCUCUCCUUCUUCUCAGAGAACGAUUUAUUUUCUACUCGCCUGCCUUCCUGUCAUUGCAUGGGCUACACUUCUUCGCCAGCUUCAGGAUAUUUCCACAUGUGAAAGGUACACCAAAAACAGCACGUGACCUGUGUCCUGCCUGCCUUACACCCCUCUCCAUACCGCCAGCUAUGGCCACCGUAGACUCUGAACCGUUGUCCGGCGAUGGCUCCUCCGUUACUCUUACUAUUCGGUUGAUCAUGCAAGGCAAGGAAGUUGGCAGCAUUAUUGGAAAGAAAGGUGACAACAUAAAGAAAUUCCGUGAAGAGAGUGGAGCCAAAAUUAAUAUUUCUGAUAACUCGUGUCCAGAGCGUAUUGUCACAGUUACAGGAGCCACAGAUGCUAUAUUAAAAGCUUUCACACUUAUUACUAGAAAGUUGGAAGAGGAUUUGCACAACACUCCUGGUUUCAAUGUUCCCAAGCCUCCAGUCACCCUUCGGCUCAUUGUUCCAGCCAGCCAGUGUGGCUCGCUUAUUGGAAAAGGAGGAUCAAAGAUUAAAGAAAUUAGAGAAAUUACAGGGGCAUCUAUACAAGUGGCAAGUGAGAUGUUGCCCAACUCUACAGAGAGAGCAGUUACUAUUUCAGGGACAGCUGAUGCAAUCACGAAAUGUAUCUACCAAACCUGUUGUGUGAUGAUGGAGUCCUCUCCAAAGGGAGCAACAAUACCAUACCGUCCAAAGCCAACAAUGCCACCAGUAAUAUUUGCAGGUGGUCAGGCCUACACUGUUCAGGGGCAGUAUGCUAUCCCACAUCCUGAUGUUAGUAUAUGGUCACCGCUAACCAAGCUACAUCAGUUAGCUCUACAAAAUGCCCCACUUUUACCAACUCAUGCUCUUGGAACUCUAACUGCUCAAGACAUGAAUAAGAAACUGGAGCUGUAUGCUGAUGCAGGAUUGCUUAUGUCACCAGCUUUAGCUUCACUUGCAGCACACGGCAGUCUACGUCCUGGUACUUCUGCCACUCCCAACAUCAUUGCACCUGGAACUGUAACAGAAAUGAAUAUUCCAAAUGAUCUGAUUGGCUGUGUUAUUGGCAAAGGUGGAGCUAAAAUAAAUGAAAUUAGGCAACUCUCUGGGGCCACUAUAAAGAUCUCCAAUUCAGAUGAAAGUUCCAAAGACAGAACUGUGUCAAUAUCUGGAACACCUGAAGCCAUUAACUUAGCACAAUACUUGAUCAAUACAAGCAUCCAGAAUGCUCAGCUUCCAUUCAUUUGGAGAAACAUGGCUUCCAUUCCAAUGAAAUAAGAAACAAUUUAAAAGUUUUCCCGAAUCCCUUGGAUUGUUAUUUCUAUCAUAAUAAUUCUGUGUAACUUUACCGUUCUGCACCUUCUACGUCAGAGAAAAUAUUAGCAUGUUUUUCCACACAGAUCCCGGAAUGACCAAAUAGUAUCACAGGUUCUACCUAGAAAAAUUGUCAACUAAUUAAGUGCCAUACAUAUCUUUGAAAUUCUACAAUCUACUAUACUUUUUUAAUCGAAUAAUGUGAAGGUGUAUUCAUGGUGUUUAAAAAUCACCAUAUCGCUUACUUUGUUUCAAAUGAUUAUCUUUAUUAGAUUAUUUCAAUUAUAAUAUUUAUUCAAUUUUUUUCUCAACUUUUGUGAGAUUUAUUAUAUUUGAUGGUGUGAGUUCAAGUUUUGUAAACUUAAUGCACUUGUUCACAAUGAACUUAUUUUUUUUUUAUAGAUAAGAUCUGUAAUAUCUUCUGUACAGUAGGGUGUAUUUCUUCAUUCUCUUUUGUUCUAUUUUAGAUUUUUAAGAAUGAAGAUUUUAUUUGAUAGUAUGAAAUGAAAUAAUGAUAUAAGUUAAUUGCUGUAGGUAGGGUUUUGUUGUUGACUCACAACAAAAUAUUUUCUUACAUUUAAUUGGUUAUUCUUGUGUUGAACAAUAUAUCUUGUAAGUCGAGUUUGAAACAUACUUGUUUUUGUGUUUUGUUUUCUACCUUAAAAAAUUGGAUUUGCUCAAUAUGUUUAAUUGGCGCUUUGGGAAGCACAUCAGUGCCUUUCAGUUGUUUUUGUAUAGAAAAGUUGGUGUCUAAAUUGGAUUAAAACUGAAAGUAUUCCUAUGAAAUUCAUGGUAGUAUACUGAGAGAAAAACAUGUUAAGGGUUUGUAACUUAAAUUAACCAGAAUUGUAUUACAUAGUACAAAAAAUUGAUGAUUCUAAUACUAAUAAAUACAAACUUACCCACUUGUCUUCUGCUAUCAUGAAUCGUCUUUAAUAGUUUCUAUUUUAUGAAAUGAAGUUUCACAAGUAUCAUUAGAUAGAAAAGUUUUAACUUAAUUAAAGGCAUUAAAAAAAGGGGAAAAAAUGUUUCAAACAGAACAUUUCUUGUGAAUUUUAGGGUGAGAAAUUUGAUGUGAAGUUAUUUUUCAAAGCUCUGUAUUGCUCAGUUUGGCUUUUAUUUUCACUUUUAAUGAUUAAAACUUGAAAAAUGGUUCUAAAAAAGUUAUCCUAGUUUGAUUACUACUGUUGCAUAUUAAUUGACUUAAGUUUGAAUAAUUGGCUACAGAGAAUGCAUGAAUUUUCUAUAUUUUUUGUUCAUACAUAUAAAUAAUAAUAGCACUUUGAAAUUUAAGAAAUAUCUCAAACUUUGCUUAAUACCUAUCAAAAGUUUUUUAUGGUAUCAAGCAUGCAUUUUUCUGUAUAACAAAAUGUUUAUUAGUCUACAAUUCAAAUAAUCUAUUAAUCAGAAAUUAAGGUAUUAUAUUUGUUGUAUUGCUCUGGAGAUGUGUGUUUCUGUUGAACAAACCGUUUCUGCACAUAUAGUUAGUAAUGUACUUGAUGUUAUUGGUUGUCAUAUUAUGUGGUAGGCUAGUUUUAUAGGUAUGAUAACUGUAUACUUCCAUUUGGAAUUUUAAAGCUUACCUAAACUUCUUAGAACUGAAUACUGUUGUAGUGUUAUUAAACACAUCACAUAUACAUAUCAAGUACUUGUAGAAAUAUAUUUUCUGCACAUACACUUCACCAACCUGUCCUUUCAAACAUACAUAUCAAGUACUUGUAGAGAUAGAUUUUCUACAUAUAAUUAAUGUAAUAAUUUGAUAUUCAUUAGUAUCUGAAACAGUAUCAGUAUUUUUUUCUUUAAUCCAGAGUAAGUUGAGUUUUUUUCAAUAUCGUCAACUUUAUAUUACAAACAAAAAAAAUGCUAUCCUAAUUAUAGACAGGAUUUUUGAAAGUAAUAUAACUCCACAAAUUUUGAAUGAAAGAACUUGUGCAAUACAAUAUUUUCUUUGUGUAUUAUACUACUUUUAGAAUAUGAACUAUUUUCCUUCAUUUAACUAAAUUAAGGUCAUUAACAUUUAAAAAAAGAGUAAAAAAAGUUUCAACUAAAACAUUUCUUGUGAAUUUUGUGGUGAAAAAUUUGAUAUGAAGUUAUUUUUUAAAAAAUCAGUAGUGCUAUUUUUUUUUCUCUUAUUUUCACUUUUAUAAUUAAAACUUGAAAAACGUAAGCAUUUAAUGUUUCAUAUGUACUCUAAGUGCAGCAGUACAUAUAUACUGUAAGUUAUAUAAUUACCAUCAUUAUGAGAGGAAAUAAGUCAUUAGUUUUUAGGUUAGAUGUUUCUGUGUUUGAUAAACAUAUAAAAACGUUAUUUAUUAAAAGCAUUUUUCAUUUCAAUAACAAAUUAUUUAAAGUAAAAGUUGUUGAUUUUAUAUUUGUUAAAACUUUUAGACAGGCCAAAGUUAAAAUGAUUAAAGAAAUUUCAGGUUUGAGUUGAAUGUUAAAAGUAACAGUAUUAUUUCACAUUCUUUUUCUAUGUGACAGCUAGUGUACAUUUUUAAUUGUGUAAUUCAAAAAUCAUUUGUCUGACACAAAAUUAGUUGAAUCAGCCCCCCAAAAAUGUUAGGAUAAUAUUUAUGUGCUUACAACACUUAAAUAUUCCUGGAAGACAUUAUUACCAAUGUGCAAUAAAUAUGAACCUGAAACAUAUGUUAACAUGCUAUACCUAUACACUUGUUUGAUUUUAAGAUAAUAGAAUAGCUCAGAUUUUUUAAUUUGGUUAAGCAUUAAAUUAUAAUAGUUAAUAGCUCAUUCAUAAAUAUAACUAACUGCUAAGUUAUUUUCAUAACAUCAUAUACAAAAAUUUGUGAUAGCAUUCAAUGUUUCUAGUUUCUUACAAAUACAAAAUUGUUUAUAACAUAAAUAGCAUUUUGAUGCAACUUUGAAACAGUCACUCUUUUGUGUAUUAGGUAGUAGGGAGGUAAAUUGUUUAGUCAUAAUAAUUUGUGUUUGAUCAAGAGUAAUUACAUGCUGCAACAUAAUACUAAUAAUUUUUUAAUCAAGUUAAGACUUGUUAAUAUAAAGUGCUCAAAAUAAUAAUGUCUAUAGAAGUACUUAGGUGUAAGAAAAUGAGAUUUUAUUAAUAAAUGUAAAAAUAUUUGAUAAAAUUUAUUUAGAGCAAAAUUAUGAUGAAUGCAAAUGAUAUACUAAAUAAAGUUCUGUAAUUAGUAAUAGUAUUUAUUAUUUAUCCUAGAAACUACACAAAUUCUUAAACAUAUCACUACAGAAUAUAGAAUCGAUUAUUACAUACAACUGUAUGUUCUUUGUCUAAUUUAAUAAAAAAUAUAUCAUAGACUUUACUUCAAAAUUAUUUCGUUUUCGUUUCAGAAGUAAAUGCCCUAUUACAAUGGUCUUUUUUUUCCACUUAAAACAAUACUUCUAGAACAUAUUAAUAAGUAUGUGUCUUACAAAAUAAUAAGAAUUUGGUCAUUACAAGUUUGACUCAAUGAGCAUUAAGAAAAAGUCAUUAAAUCAAGAUGUAUGUUCUUUGUCUAAUUUAAUAAAAAAUAUAUCAUAGACUUUACUUCAAAAUUAUUUCCUUUUUGUUUCAGAAAUAAAUGCCCUAUUACAAUGGUAUUUUUUUUUCCACUUAAAACAAUACUUCUAGAACAUAUUAAUAAGUAUGUGUCUUACAAAAUAAUAAGAAUUUGGUCACUACAAGUUUGACUCAAUGAGCAUUAAGAAAAAGUCAUUAAAUCAAGAUUAUAUGUAAGCAAACAUUUAUGUAAGAUAAACAUGUUCAGUGUGGAAGACUACAAAUAAAACACUGAAUUUUGUCAAGGUUCUGUGAUAUAUGUAUAAAGAUAUGCUGGAGUUUUCAAUUAAAUUUAAUUUUAUCUUAAUUAUCAGCAUAAUAAGAAUAUAAUUUUAUUAUUAGCUUCUUGAAAUCAACUACAUGACUGAAGAUAAUAUCUGCUAGAUAGUUGUCAUAGAUCUAAUAUGACUUUAUCUAAACCUGUAAGAAAUAUGUGGGGCACACGAAGGUAAAUGAAUUUGCAAGAAUGUGAGCCAGGCAUGCAUGGCCAAGUGGAUUAUAUGCUCAGCUGUCGAUUGGAGGGCUCAACGUUCAAGCCGAAAUAUGCAGCUGAACAUGUUCUGCACUUUCAGCUAUGGGAAUAUUAUAAUUGUGACUGUUAAUCCACAUGUUUGAUUAAUAGAAGAUACUAGGUGGCAUAUGCUACUGACAGUUUGCAUCCUUUCAGUCAGCAGCUCUAAAUUAUAGGUGGUAAUAUCUGAGUCUUGUGAUGUCUGAAUUGACCAUUUAACUCAUCUUGUCAUAUAAAGUGCCAUUCAGGUUCAAAAAUACAAAAUACCUAGUGCAUGAAUAAAACAGGUAGUUGAAGUGAUGCAAUUUAUAAUUCAGACUCAUAGUGUAACACUCCUUCUACACUUAUGUCAAAUGUAACGUUUUUCUGUGCCAAAAGAGAAUAGUAUUUACUAAGAUAGUUGUUUAAAUGCUGAAAGCUGAUGAAGCAUUAGAAACCAAUAGGCCUAAAAGUAAAGUUGCAAAAAUAUCAAUUGAUGAAUUUGUUUUCUUUCUCACAUUCCUGUUAAUUUGUCCAUUGUGGAUUCAAGUAUAAGAUCUGAAAUGCAAUUUUUACAUGUCUCUGGUUUUGAAUCUACAAUGAACAAAUUAAGAGGAAUGUUGGGAAAAAACAUCUACAGUUAAGAUGAAUUUUAUUAUAAAUUUUAGGCCUAUUACAAUUUCUAUAAGUAUUUACUAAUUUUAGGCAUAGUACUUCAAAUAAAGGUUUACUUUCACUAGUGUUAUCUGUUAAUAUUAUUAAUGGUAGUGAAGUUUUUUCAAAAAGCUAUUGUAAAAUUUACACAAAAAUCAGUAACUAUAAAGCAUUGUUGUUAAAUAAUGGAAAUUUAAAACAAAUGAUUUUUUUAUGAGCCUACAGAACACUUUUUUGUGAGUUCUUUGGCCUUUUGGUUAUCAUCUCUAUUUGAAUAUUAUUAAAUUUCAUGAUUUAAAAUUAACUUACUAUAGCAAAACAUACCAUUAAUUUUAUAAGCACUUGAAGCUAGUUUUAGAAAUGUAAUGAAGAAUAGUAUUGCCUAAUGCCUUGCUGUCUAUUUAACAAGCCCUGGUGGCUCAUCAGUAAAUUUGAGAACCUAUCUAACUAAAAAUCAGGUUUCAUUUCAAUACUCACUGUGGGCCGAGCACAGAUAGCACAUUAUGUAGCUUUGUACUUAACACCAUAAAAGCAAACCUCUAAAUGACUUUACUGCCAGUGAUUAAGUUGCAUUUAAGAUAAAUGAUAUAAUCUUUUCAUUUUUGAAAUAAUUUGUUAUAUUAUUAUACUUAGCACAAGAUCAAGAAAUACCAUUUUUAAAGUGCCAAGUUAUUCAAUCACUAAACUGGAUUUUAUUCUUAUAACUUUUUAUAUUUAAGCCUAUUCAGUCUGUCUUGAUAAUUAUGACACAUAAUUCUAAUUAUAAAAUUUGGUUUAAAUGUACUAAGUUCUUUGCAUGAAAACAUUUUAAUGUUGGUAUUCAGUGUAUAAUAUAACAAAAGGGAACUGUAAGAACAAAAAUAUUUACAUAACUUUUUAUGUAGUUUAGACUCAAUAAAAUAUUAUGUUUUAUCUCUAUCAGCACUUAAAAUUUUUAUAACUUUGCUCUACAAGAAAGAUAAUUGCCAAAUUUUAGUGCCAAGUUGUUCAUGUAACUUAUUUGAGAUUUUGUUUAAGCUUUUUUUUUUUUUUUAUCAAAAGGUAUGCUUUUACACCUGACUUAAGCUUGUAUAUAGUUGUACUAGGUACAUAAUUAUAGUGUUUUUACAGCUUCAUUUAUUUGAACCUAUUUUGUAAGAAUUGUCUGUACUUUUGGGGAUUAUACUUAUAACUAUUUUAAUUGAUAGCACCAAAAUGUAGACACUUUGUAAAUCUAGUGCGUUAUUCUUACAACCGUUAUAGCACUGCAUAGCAUUUAAAUGGAUAAGAAUACAGGCUAAGCAAUUUGUAUGUACAAUACCUAUAAGUGCUCCUAAACUAAUAAAAUUAAACAAUAGGAGACUUUAACUUAUUCUUAAUAUUCCUGCACUUUACCAUUACAACAAAUUGAAUCACAAUGAAUCAUUAUAGCAGGUUUAUGUUGAUUACAUAUUAUUUUCUAGCAUUUUGGUGUUACAUUGUUGAAGUUUUCACAGAAUUAUUAUCUGUAUGUUGCAUUGCAAGAUCACAAUUUUACUAGACAUUUUAAUGAAAGUUAAGUCCUUUGUAUCAUAUUUAUUUUUCAUUUACCGUUAUUAAUUGGUCAAAUUAUUGGUUAAUUAUACCAGAUAUAUAUGUUUCCUCUUGUGCACAUUACUCAUGCAAAUAAGAUGUGUUUACAGAGACUAUCAUGGAUAAAUAGUCCCCUGUGUUUUUGCAAAAUACAAAAUAGACAAUUUAGUAUUUCACACUACACAUUUUAAGGUUGCUUCUAUCUAGGUAAAUUUAUAGAUAUUUUUAGAAUAUGUAUACAUUCUCACACAUAAAGGUGACAAUAAAAGCAAUAAUAUCAAAACUUUUAAAGUAAUAAAUAGGUACACAAUUAAAAACAUUUUAAUUAAAGCCUAUCUAUGACCACCAAAAAGUUGACUCUGCAUGUUUCGAUGUUGCAACUUCAUCUUCAGUAAAAAUCAUAAAAAAUAUUCAACGUUAAACUGGUACACAGUUA
RNA transcript from Limulus polyphemus (Atlantic horseshoe crab), 8241 nucleotides. It is a transcript of the gene named poly(rC)-binding protein 3-like, with no coding region annotated. NCBI's taxonomy places the organism in Eukaryota, Metazoa, Arthropoda, Merostomata, Xiphosura, Limulidae. The transcript has 13 exons. The record is from RefSeq and is a predicted model, not a curated record.